CCUCGGGAGUUAUGGAUUGUGAAAAAAAAGCUACAACUCCCUAAGGGAUUUGUUUUAUUUUGUUUUAUUAUGUAACUAAUUCAUACAAACCAAGUAGCGUAAAUGAGUUUUAGUUUUAAAAUACUGACGUUUAUAAUUUAAUAUAAUUUAAUAGCAGUUUAAAAUAAUUUUACAUAAUUUUUAAUUGUGGCUGAAUGUCGAAUAGGUCUGUGCCUUCGAUGCGUAAUCUGUCAAGAAAUGACAAUAUGGCGAACGAAUGUUUGAUAUGUCACCG
This is a long non-coding RNA of Cydia strobilella, 274 nucleotides long. RefSeq lists it as uncharacterized. Lineage: Eukaryota; Metazoa; Arthropoda; Insecta; Lepidoptera; Tortricidae. The transcript has 2 exons. The record is from RefSeq and is a predicted model, not a curated record.